GGUAAAAUGGCUGAGUUAAAGGCAAUAAAUUGUAAAUUUAUUAACGAAUAAAAUAUUCUUUUACCA
RNAcentral lists this transfer RNA (66 nucleotides) under Curculionoidea sp. 25 KM-2017. RNAcentral's name for it is "tRNA-Tyr". It matches the Rfam family "tRNA". Rfam says of the family: Transfer RNA (tRNA) molecules are approximately 80 nucleotides in length. Lineage: Eukaryota; Metazoa; Arthropoda; Insecta; Coleoptera. The record is from RNAcentral.